ACGGGGGGAGCAAGCGUUGUUCGGAAUCACUGGGCGUAAAGGGCGUGUAGGCGGUCAGGUAAGUGAGAUGUGAAAUGCCUCGGCUCACCCGAGGACCGGCAUCUCACACUGCUUGGCUUGAGUACGGGAGAGGACGUGGGAAUUCCUGGUGUAGCGGUGAAAUGCGUAGAUAUCAAGAGGAACACCUGAGGUGAAGACGGGUUGCUGGGCUGACACUGACGCUGAUGCGCGAAAGCCAGGGGAGCAAACGGGA
This 253-nucleotide ribosomal RNA is filed under the name uncultured prokaryote. Its description in RNAcentral is "partial 16S ribosomal RNA". It matches the Rfam family "Bacterial small subunit ribosomal RNA", at positions 525 to 777 of the family's 1533-position model. The record is from RNAcentral.